CUGCUCAGUGACUUGGUGAUUCAGGGACAACUUGAGUCAAACUGAAGUGGUGAGCUUUUAUUCUUCGAAAGGCCCAUUUCAUAUUAUGGUUUACCUUAUGAUUUACUAUUUUCUUGACAUCUGUUUUAUGCUAUGGUCGGGGGCAUGUCCUGACUAGAUAUUCUUGGUCAUUAUUUAGAGGCUUUGUAUGGACAAUUAUGGACUUGGGUAUGGAAU
This 216-nucleotide long non-coding RNA is filed under the name Capsicum annuum. Its description in RNAcentral is "long non-coding RNA (CANN_LNC020554)". Lineage: Eukaryota; Viridiplantae; Streptophyta; Magnoliopsida; Solanales; Solanaceae. The record is from RNAcentral.